RNA transcript from Megalobrama amblycephala (Wuchang bream), 4298 nucleotides. RefSeq lists it as uncharacterized. The transcript is spliced from 7 exons. NCBI's taxonomy places the organism in Eukaryota, Metazoa, Chordata, Actinopteri, Cypriniformes, Xenocyprididae. The record is from RefSeq and is a predicted model, not a curated record.
GUAAACCCUAAUGUUGUCUUUACUUAAACAAUCAAGUACUGUUGACUAAACAUUACUUAAAAUUUUGCAUUUUGGCCCUGUCACUUAAAAAUAUGAGUUGAUUUAACCUAUUUACUUUCAAAAUGCAUAAACUUAAGAUUUCAAGUGAUGUGUGCUCAAAAUCAUGAUUAAUCCUUUGAAAAAAAUAGGUAAUUUUCACAAAUGUAGUCUUCUUGACUGUAAAAUUAUAAUACCAUGUGCCACUUUUGUGCAAGGUCUUUUCUCUCUUUUUUUUAACAGACAACAAAUGGCUUCAAUUACAAUUAUUGACCAUAAUGGGAAUAAAUAUACUUAUUUUUAUUUGGGGGAAAAACUUUUCAAAGUGGAUUAACUUUAAUACAUAUUACAAGUGUUUUUGUGACAAUAGGUUGCAGUUUUCACUCAAAAGCCUUUUGUAUGCACGUACAUUUCUGUAACGUUAAUAUACACAUUAACACACAUACACGGAACAUGAUAAAAUGCGUGAAAGAGUUCCUCACAGCCUCCUCCCACGUUUCAUCAAAAAUCAUCCUAAUCGCCUCAUUCUGUUAUCGAUAUGGUUUUGUAGGUUUCUUUUUAUUUCAUGCGAUCAGAAACGUGCCGCGCUCCGUUUAUGUUCAAAUCUUUCCCACUUUCCUCCGAAAGCGGCUGUCAUUUGCAGAUGGACAGCGUGAAAUUACUUUAAUACAGCUGUAUAUUUCCGACAAGCACAUGUGUACAAUCGGGACAAUUUCAAUGAUUUUGAUAGUGCAAACGGUUGAAGAAAAUACACUUUGUUUGUAUGUGUGUGCGACCACACACAUUCAGUUUCAUAAAUUUGCUUGAUCUGUUCUUGCUCUAAUGUGAUUGGCCAUGCAAGGAGUUCUGCCUAGCAACAAGACAACUAAUGCACUGAUUGGUGGAUCACAAAAUUGGUCCUGACCUUUUGGCCUGGCCUUCAGUUGCUGGCUGCUGACACCAAAUUUCAAGACUGAAGUUUUUCUUCGUGUGCUAUGUUCGGUGACAUGAGAUAAGGAGAUGUGGAAAUGAUUCCUUGAGGGUUUUACUGCGGAGAGAUUCUGCCGUUUUUGCAUGGGAACAAGAACUGAGGUUCAGCACACAGAGGUAGGUUCCAGCAACUUUGAAACUCGCACUAAAGACACUCAUGACAGGCAUGUUAAGGAGGUAAAGCAGGAUCCUUCUUUGAGUAAGCUGUAUGGAGUGAGAGGAAGCUGUCCGCUUACUGAUGCUUUGCAACAUUUUCAUGCUGUCACUGGCUACCCACCAGAUAUUUUACAUGACCUACUAGAGGGCAUUGUGCCAGCUGAACUCUGUCUCUGCCUUUCAGAGAUGAUUGAAAAGAAAUACAUCUCUCUCGAGUCAGUGAACCAUGCAAUUAAGUACUUUGCUUACACUUUCUCCGAUAAAACUAACAGACCACAGCAAAUUCCAAAGGCUUUUGCCACCAAAGGAACAAUUGGUGGCAAUGGCCACGAAAAUUGGACCUUGCUUAGACUUCUUCCUCUUUUAAUUGGAAAUGAUGUCCCAGAAGGAGAUACUUCAUGGGAAAUUUUGAUGCUUCUUAAAGAUAUAGUUGAAUUGGCUGUGGCAUCAAAACAUACAGAAGAGUCCAUAGAUUUCUUGAAGUGCAAAAUAACAGAACACAGAGAACUGCUGCAAUCAACAUUCCCUGGUUUUAGAUUGAAACCAAAGCAUCAUUUCGUUGAGCACUACCCCCAGCUGAUUAAAGCCUUUGGCCCACUGUCUGAUGUUUGGACAAUGCGUUUUGAGGGAAAGCACAAAUUUUUCAAAAAAGUAAUUCGGGAAUCUCAAAACUUCAAAAAUGUAGCCCUCACACUGGCUGUCCAACAUCAGAGAAUGAUGGCAUACUAUCUGGAUUCUAGCUCAUUUUAUAGACCCUCAAUUGAAAUGGACAAAGUCAAAACCGCACUGGUUACGUCAUUUCCUGAUCAUAUUCAGCAGGCGUUCCAUCAAAUUACACCACAGCUAAAGACAGUGCUGAUUGCUUCCUCUGUGACAGCUGAUGGAAUUGAAUACCGUGCAGAUAUGGUCAUCUCUGCUGGGUCAUGCUCUGGUCUCCCAGAAUUCAAGAUGAUAUCACAGAUUGUAGCAGUGAACUCUGAGAUUCUGUUUCUCUGUAAACAAAUGUCAGCUUGGUACAUUGAGCAUAUUCGGUCAUUCGAACUUUGCAGCAGCCAUGUUACUUCCCUCUGUGUGAUUCAGAUGUCAGAGCUCAAUGAGGUUUUCCCUCUGUCAUGCUACAUGGUAAAAGACAGGAUGGUGGUGACACCUAAACGUUAUAUCUUGUGCUAAGUGAAUAAUCCAAUAUUUCUCCUUUUCUCUCUUUUUUUUUCUCUAGUCUUUUGGUUGCAGUGAAGCCCUUAAAGUCCCAAGUGUUAUCAUCAAGCUUCAUAUGAUGUCUUCUCAAGAGAAAACUCUCCUAAGAGUUAUACUGACAGAAGGGGACAUAAGGAAGGUCUCCCUAGCCAAGAAGCCGGAUUCAGUUGACAACUUGGUUGUUGCUUUAAAAGAGAGUUUGGGGCUUAAUUACAACUUUUCGCUUCAGUAUGAAGAUCAGGACUUUGGGAAUGCACUUUGCAACCUAACGGACAUAUCAGAGCUUCAAGAUAGAGCUACACUGAAAAUCAUUCCUAUAAUUGAACUAGAAGCACUGAAUCAAGAGGAAGUACUGGAUGACUCUGCAAGCACAGCCGACACAGAGAUACUUUCUACCUCAUCACAGGAAAGGAAAACACAGUGGCCAAAAGAAUUUGAGAUCCCUUCCUUCACAGUUGAUGUUGAAUACCGCCUGCGACAGGGCAACCUGACCUACCUCAAGGACUGCACGUACCUCAAACUGACCAAAGAACUAAAGCAUGACAUCCUGGAAAAGCUGGCUGAAACCAUGUUCAGUUUCAAAGCCUAUCCAACAAAUGAUGACUAUGCACAGGUUGCUGCUGCUCUGGUAAAUAAGCAUCCAUGUCUUCUGGAAAGUGGUUCAUCUACUGGCUGGGGGGGUGGAAGAAUAGUCUAAAAUUCAAAAUGGGGAAUUUUAGAUCCAAGAUGAGAAACUUGGGAUACCCUGAUGUAACCAUUAAUGGAGGAAGGAGAGGCAUGAACAACCCUGAAGGAAUCCCGUCAAGAAAACGCAUAAAGAAGCCAAAGAAAUGUGAAAUCAACUUUCUGCCAAACUUUCCAGAAGGACAUAAUAAUGACAGCCUUGAAUUGGUUCGUAAAGAAAUUCAAUAUGAAAUGAAGAUGAGAACACCCAGUCCAUCCCUUCUGGCACAACAGAUGGACUUGACUUUUGCGCUUAGACGUAAAGAGAUUGUUGAGUCCGCACCUGCAAUCAGUGAUGUGCUUGAACGCUGGCCUGCCCUCUUUCGUGAGUCUCAGGUUUGCAUGGAGUUCAAUAGAAUUACGGGCAAAAAUCUAAAGCAGGAAUUCUACGAAAACCUGGACAGACACAGUUCACGGUUCAUGGACCUUUUCAAAACCAAAAGGGGGACUCCUGGUCAGCACUUGUUGAACUUUUUACAGCAAAUAAAAUCAGACCAGCCAACUGAGGUCCGAACCCUUGUUCUUCGAGGACUGCCUAUCAUGCUCGGAGAUGAAGACUCUUCUUUCUUCAAGUCAUCUUUAGUGUCUGAUCAUCGUAACACUAUCCUUGAUGUGCCAGUGGGGAUCUUAUUCGAGGACACGGAUCUUCAGCCCCCAAACUCCUUGCAUUUGACUUCUUCGAUUGGAAUAAUUCUUGAAGGCCAAGUGGUGAUGGACAAAAUGCAGGACCUCCCACAGGCAAUCUGUAUUCUCUUCGGUCUGAUUUACGCACUAGACCUGAAUUACCCAAAAUCACUCGCCAACACGUUUGAUUUCAUCCAGCGUGUACUAAUGUCAAUGGGACAAAAUGCUCUCAAGCCUAGAGUGCAGUCUCUGGCAAACCAACUAUUUGCUUAAGAAACGUCACUGUGAUACUUAAACACCAUCCUUUGUAUUGGGUUUUUUCCCCCACGAUUUACUCCAUUAUCCAUUUAUAAAGAAUAAAAAGUGUUUAAAUUGUUAAAUGCACAGAGUUCUUCAAUUGAUGUGCAGUUGUUAAUUUGAGAUAUUGUUGCCAUUGUUACACCUCUGUAAUGUGGUUGUGACCCAGUAAUAUUUCCAUUACAGUAUAGUUUGUACUGUAAUAUUGUGACAUUUGGACCAAAGACACUGAACAUGUUCAUUAUGUUUUAUUUUAGUUUGCCGUGUUUGCACAAAGCUUAAAUGGUGAAAUGCAGUAA